Long non-coding RNA from Alosa sapidissima (American shad), 889 nucleotides. RefSeq lists it as uncharacterized. NCBI's taxonomy places the organism in Eukaryota, Metazoa, Chordata, Actinopteri, Clupeiformes, Clupeidae. The transcript is spliced from 4 exons. The record is from RefSeq and is a predicted model, not a curated record.
CGUGGCGGAUUCAGUCAUCAGGUAUGUUGCAAUACUCCCGUUUGCUGCCAGACUAAUAACAUGGUUUAAUCAAUGUUUGUCUUCACCUGUAGCUUCGUGGUCACCGGCUAGUCUACUCCUGCUGCCCGUGUGUUAGACACCAUCCCUUAUUCAUUCUACAGCUGAACGUGGGUGAGUGCUCUCCAUACGGCGCUUUGUGCACUAUUCGUAGUUACGAACAUAGGUAGCGCGGCCUUUUCCAUCUACGCGGGGUGCAUAGCGUGGGUCGUGCUGCUGUCUUGUCUGUAUUUUAUUUUGGUGUAGCCUAAUUGUGUGCGGUUUUUCAAGUACGUUCUGUGUCUGUUGUUUCUUUUUGUGGGCAUUAACUUAGUGUCUACGUCUGCCUGUGUUUGGGUUUAUUUGGCGUUUAUGUCAGUCUGCAUGUUGCUUGCCGCAUUAGUAGAGAGGAACGGGGCAUAAGUGGCAUAUGCUUCAUCCUGGUAACUGCUUAGGUUCUGUCUGGUGCUGGCUGUCAUUUGCGUGUGUUUGUAUUUCUUUUGUCCUGGUGUGCCUGCAUUAUCUACCAUAACGUCUGUAUUGGCUGACCUUGUGGUGCUGUUUUAUUUGUUUGUUUGGCAGAUGUGGGGCCCUCUUUGAGGGAGGCUAGUCACCUGGUGGUGGGACCCUGUAGCUGCACAUUUGUGGUGUCAUUGUUGCUUGCGGUGGGCUGCUGUGUCACUGGUAAGUCACUUUCUUGCAGUGUGUAUGCACGUGUGAUGGCUGGAACUUAGAACACACCUCCAGUUAGUCUGUCUCCCUCAGGUAAGCCCCCAUCUGCUGUAUCUUUUUAGCUCCAGUGGAGCCUGGCCCCACUUUAGAAAUCACCUGUUCAUAUUGUAUCAUAAUAAAA